UGGCCCAGUGAGUGGAGAUGCCGUUCUAUUGUCCCCCUUUUCUCUGAGUUGGUUUUGUCUUCAGGGUCCACAUCACAGGGAGUGAGAUCCGCAGGGUCUGUCCCCCCGCCUGACAUCCCUGAGCGCAGCGCCCUCCAGGCCAUUCACGUUCUUACAAAGGCAGGAAGCCCUUCAGGUUAAGGGGCCAGGGAGCCGACACCGGUUCUGGUGGAUGGGGGGCUGGCUCUUUGCCGUGGUGGCCGGGACCCUCGUCAUUCUCUGCGUCAGGAAACCCGGAGAUGGAGGCGGCCGGGCGGCCUGCUGCGGUCCCCGUGCAGGACCUGUCUCCACAGGACGCCCUUUCAGAAGAGACAGCCUGGUGAGUGCUCCCGGCCAGGCCAGCCCCGGGCUGGGAGGGGGACCCACUCCAGCUGCCGCGAGCCCCUCGCUGCCCGAGCGUCAGCCGAACACGAGCCGAGGGCUGAGCUGGAAGUGCCUUAGACUCUGGAGCAGCGGUUCUCAACCUGUGGGUCGCGACCU
Molecule: long non-coding RNA, 519 nt
Organism: Myotis davidii
Lineage: Eukaryota; Metazoa; Chordata; Mammalia; Chiroptera; Vespertilionidae
Exons: 3
Source: RefSeq, a predicted model, not a curated record